Molecule: ribosomal RNA, 335 nt
Filed under: Escherichia coli
Lineage: Bacteria; Pseudomonadati; Pseudomonadota; Gammaproteobacteria; Enterobacterales; Enterobacteriaceae
Description: bacterial SSU rRNA
Rfam family: Bacterial small subunit ribosomal RNA
Source: RNAcentral
AAAUUGAAGAGUUUGAUCAUGGCUCAGAUUGAACGCUGGCGGCAGGCCUAACACAUGCAAGUCGAACGGUAACAGGAAGCAGCUUGCUGUUUCGCUGACGAGUGGCGGACGGGUGAGUAAUGUCUGGGAAACUGCCUGAUGGAGGGGGAUAACUACUGGAAACGGUAGCUAAUACCGCAUAACGUCGCAAGACCAAAGAGGGGGACCCUCGGGCCUCUUGCCAUCGGAUGUGCCCAGAUGGGAUUAGCUUGUUGGUGGGGUAACGGCUCACCAAGGCGACGAUCCCUAGCUGGUCUGAGAGGAUGACCAGCCACACUGGAACUGAGACACGGUCC